UCAUUGAAAAGGUUGAAUGCA
RNAcentral lists this non-coding RNA (21 nucleotides) under Arabidopsis thaliana (thale cress). The record is from RNAcentral. Lineage: Eukaryota; Viridiplantae; Streptophyta; Magnoliopsida; Brassicales; Brassicaceae.